UACGUAGGCAGCAAGCGUUGUUCGGAGUUACUGGGCGUAAAGGGUGUGUAGGUGGCCUGUUAAGUUCCGUGUGAAAUCUCUCGGCUCAACCGGGAGGGUGCGCGGAAAACUGGCGGGCUAGAGUACGGGAUGGGAGAGUAGAAUUCCUGGUGUAGCGGUGAAAUGCGUAGAUAUCAGGAGGAAUACCGGUGGUGUAGACGGCUCUCUGGACCGUAACUGACACUGAGACACGAAAGCGUGGGUAGCAAACAGG
RNAcentral lists this ribosomal RNA (253 nucleotides) under uncultured bacterium. RNAcentral describes it as "partial 16S ribosomal RNA". It matches the Rfam family "Bacterial small subunit ribosomal RNA", at positions 524 to 776 of the family's 1533-position model. The record is from RNAcentral.